UACGUAGGCGGAAAAUUAAGUCAGUAGUGAAAUCCCGCAGCUUAACUGUGGAACUGUUAUUGAUACUGGUUUUCUUGAAUAUAGUUGAGGUAGGCGGAAUGUGUAAUGUAGCGGUGAAAUGCUUAGAUAUUACACAGAACACCGAUUGCGAAGGCAGCUUACUAAGCUAUGAUUGACACUGAGGCACGAAAGCGUGGGGAGCGAACAGGAUUAGAUACCCUGGUAGUCC
RNAcentral lists this ribosomal RNA (229 nucleotides) under uncultured bacterium. Its description in RNAcentral is "partial 16S ribosomal RNA". It matches the Rfam family "Bacterial small subunit ribosomal RNA", at positions 568 to 796 of the family's 1533-position model. The record is from RNAcentral.